Molecule: long non-coding RNA, 69 nt
Organism: Maniola jurtina (meadow brown)
Lineage: Eukaryota; Metazoa; Arthropoda; Insecta; Lepidoptera; Nymphalidae
Exons: 3
Source: RefSeq, a predicted model, not a curated record
UAUAUUCUAUCCACAAAGAAGUUAGCAUAGGGCUGUCUCUGUCACGUUAUCCCAUACAAAUGACAGAGA